GAAGUCCACAAAAACUGAGCUG
Molecule: non-coding RNA, 22 nt
Filed under: Arabidopsis thaliana (thale cress)
Lineage: Eukaryota; Viridiplantae; Streptophyta; Magnoliopsida; Brassicales; Brassicaceae
Source: RNAcentral